GGGUCAAUGAUGACAACAGAAAGUCUAGAACAGGAUGAUGACAUAAAAAUCAUGCUGAAUUGAUCCAUGCUUAUCACCC
Small nucleolar RNA from Rattus norvegicus (Norway rat), 79 nucleotides. Ensembl annotates it as small nucleolar RNA SNORD115. NCBI's taxonomy places the organism in Eukaryota, Metazoa, Chordata, Mammalia, Rodentia, Muridae. The record is from Ensembl.